Ictidomys tridecemlineatus (thirteen-lined ground squirrel) is the source of this 717-nucleotide non-coding RNA. NCBI's taxonomy places the organism in Eukaryota, Metazoa, Chordata, Mammalia, Rodentia, Sciuridae. The record is from RefSeq and is a predicted model, not a curated record.
CCAUCUCCCAAGUCAUUCUUUUCUGAGGUCCAUAUUGACUUUCAUAUAUCUUCUUAUUUCUAUAACUGAGGGAGCUUCAAAUAUGCAAAGAAUCCAGAUUUACAUCUCCAGCCCUGAGCUUCAGACACAUGUAUGUGUAUGACUUCCUGCCUGGCUCUCCACUUGUCAACCCAGAGGCAUCUCAAGACCGUCAAGGCCAAAGUGGAAUGACAGACUUCAUACCUGCAUCCCAGCCCCCAAAGGGAUCUUCCCAUCUCAGAUCUUCAGUCCUGAAUGGGCCCUUUGCUGUCAGCCUGACCCUAGCCACACUCUUCUCCGCUGAAUGACCUCCUUCUGCUAUUGCUGCUCCUAUUCUUUUUCCCCUACACCAAGAGACAGCCUGAGUGCUCUACCUAAAAUAUGAACAUCCUGUUAUUUCGGAACUCAGAAGUCUCCAAUGGCUUCUCAAAAUACUUGGAAGAAAAUCCAAACUUAUGAAGGUCCUUCCAUGCUCACCGUGGUCUGGGCCCUGAUUACCUCUUGGUCUAGGUAAUCAAUGAAACAAGAAGUCAACUCCCUAAUUUGUAGCCUAUUUCUGUGGUGUAAAACCCUCACCAUGCUGAUCUCAAACUGCACCAUGAUGUCACUGUAUGCGGAAUAGUGAAGAGGUACACAGUAGCACCAUCAUAUAGGAGGUCUACCACAUAGGGUUCACACACCCAAAGAAGAUUUGAUAAG